This 209-nucleotide long non-coding RNA is filed under the name Mytilus galloprovincialis (Mediterranean mussel). Lineage: Eukaryota; Metazoa; Mollusca; Bivalvia; Mytilida; Mytilidae. The record is from RNAcentral.
CAUCUUUUGGGUUAGUAGUUUGAAAAAUGUGUCCGGUGACCCGGCCAUCCAACCAAGAUGGCCGCCAUGGCUAAAAAUAGAACAUGGGGUAAAAUGCAGUUUUUGGCUUAUAACUCAAUACCAAAAGCAUUUAGAGCAAAUCUGACAUGGGGUAAAAUUGUUUAUCAGGUCAACAUUUAUCUGCUCUGAAAUUUUCAGAUGAAUCGGAC